RNAcentral lists this ribosomal RNA (380 nucleotides) under uncultured eukaryote. RNAcentral's name for it is "partial 18S ribosomal RNA". It matches the Rfam family "Eukaryotic small subunit ribosomal RNA", at positions 592 to 976 of the family's 1831-position model. The record is from RNAcentral.
CAAUAGCGUAUAUUAAAGUUGUUGCAGUUAAAAAGCUCGUAGUUGGAUUUGUGGCGUAUGGUGUGUUCCGGGCACUUGUUGUCUGAGUAACUUGCCAUUGCCAUCCUUGGGUGGAACCUGUGUGGCAUUAGGUUGUCGUGCAGGGGAUGCCCAUCGUUUACUGUGAAAAAAUUAGAGUGUUCAAAGCAGGCUUAUGCCGUUGAAUAUAUUAGCAUGGAAUAAUAAGAUAGGACUUUUUUGCUAUUUUGUUGGUUUGCGCGAGAAGGUAAUGAUUAAUAGGGAUAGUUGGGGGUAUUCGUAUUCCAUUGUCAGAGGUGAAAUUCUUGGAUUUUUGGAAGACGAACUACUGCGAAAGCAUUUACCAAGGAUGUUUUCAUUGA